UCCUGUUGGCUCGGAUGGUGAAGAAUCUGCCUGCAAUGCAGGAGACCCGGGUUCAAUCCCCGGGUCAGGAA
RNAcentral lists this transfer RNA (71 nucleotides) under Ovis aries (sheep). It matches the Rfam family "tRNA". From Rfam's summary of the family: Transfer RNA (tRNA) molecules are approximately 80 nucleotides in length. Their secondary structure includes four short double-helical elements and three loops (D, anti-codon, and T loops). Further hydrogen bonds mediate the characteristic L-shaped molecular structure. tRNAs have two regions of fundamental functional importance: the anti-codon, which is responsible for specific mRNA codon recognition, and the 3' end, to which the tRNAs corresponding amino acid is attached (by aminoacyl-tRNA synthetases). tRNAs cope with the degeneracy of the genetic code in two manners: having more than one tRNA (with a specific anti-codon) for a particular amino acid; and 'wobble' base-pairing, i.e. permitting non-standard base-pairing at the 3rd anti-codon position. The record is from Rfam by way of RNAcentral. Lineage: Eukaryota; Metazoa; Chordata; Mammalia; Artiodactyla; Bovidae.